AACAGAAGGAAAAAAUUAUUCAGUGUCAUGCUGUCCUAUUUGGACUGCAUUUACUAUGUGUUCAUAAUGAUGUUAUCAUGCAAAUUGCACGGUCCACUGAUCAUCCUGUGAACAAAACCCAGACAUAAUGUCAGCAACUUCACCGCAGAUUUCAACUAUACUAGACAUCUGUCACAUGGAUGAUUUCAGAGAAUGAGAACUCUCAUUUAAUCUAACAAUUAAAUGGAAAGACAACCAACGAUACAAAACUGAGCUUUUGCAUAAGCAGUAGGACUGCUGCACUAUCUUGGACAGAACUUACAGAUUUGAAAACUGCAAAUGAGGAGAAAAAUCUAAGGAGGAGAGAAAUCUAUCACUUCAUGUUUUGUUUCAUACCUCCAUGAAAGUGUAGGUGAGUUUGUUUGAAGACUUUGCGGACGGAGGGGCCGGCAGCCACUGGCGUGCCAUGCCAACAUUUGUUUACGCAUGGGAGAAGCACACUUUUGACUGCGCCAAAUGCCACCUUCCAGUUCCCCGUUCCUCCAUCAUCGCA
This is a long non-coding RNA of Sardina pilchardus (European sardine), 532 nucleotides long. RefSeq lists it as uncharacterized. Lineage: Eukaryota; Metazoa; Chordata; Actinopteri; Clupeiformes; Clupeidae. The record is from RefSeq and is a predicted model, not a curated record. The transcript is spliced from 4 exons.